Molecule: ribosomal RNA, 416 nt
Filed under: uncultured beta proteobacterium
Lineage: Bacteria; Pseudomonadati; Pseudomonadota; Betaproteobacteria
Description: bacterial SSU rRNA
Rfam family: Bacterial small subunit ribosomal RNA
Source: RNAcentral
GGAUGACCGUGCCGGAAGAAUAACCACGGAUAACUACGUGCUAGCAGCCGCGGUAAUACGUAGGGUGCUAGCGUUCAUCGAAAUUACUGGGCGUAUAGCAUGUGAAAGCCGUGAGGUAAGACCGAUGUGAAAUCCCCGGGCUCAACCUGGGAACUGCAUUAGAGACUGCUUCGCUUCAGUGUGGCAGAGGGGGGUGGAAUUCCAUUUGUAGCAGUGAAAUGCGUAGAGAUGUGGAGGAGUACCGAUAGUGAAGGCAACCCCCUGGAUCAAUACUGACACUCAUGCAUUAAAUACCUGGGUAGCAAACAGGAUUAGAUACCCUGGUAGUCCACGCCCUAAACAAUGUCAACUGGUUGGCGGGUCCUCCUUGACUUGGUAACGAAGCUAACACGUAUGGUAGAUCUUCUCGAGAGGAC